UUGAACGCUGGCGGUAUGCUUAACACAUGCAAGUCGAACGGACUUGAGGGCAACUUCAAGUUAGUGGCGAACGGGUGAGUAAUGCAUAGGAAUCUGCCUUAUAGUAUGGGACGACCUAGGGAAACUUAGACUAAUACCGUAUAUUAUCGAGAGAUGAAAGCAGCAAUGCGCUAUAAGAGGAGCCUAUGUCGGAUUAGCUAGUUGGUAGGGUAAAGGCCUACCAAGGCUACGAUCCGUAGCUGGUCUGAGAGGACGAACAGCCACACUGGGACUGAGACACGGCCCAGACUCCUACGGGAGGCAGCAGUGGGGAAUAUUGGACAAUGGGCGAAAGCCUGAUCCAGCAAUACCGCGUGUGUGAAGAAGGCCUGCGGGUUGUAAAGCACUUUCGGUAGGGAAGAAGAAUGGGCAACCAUUUUGACGUUACCUACAGAAGAAGCACCGGCUAACUCUGU
This 455-nucleotide ribosomal RNA is filed under the name uncultured bacterium. Its description in RNAcentral is "partial 16S ribosomal RNA". It matches the Rfam family "Bacterial small subunit ribosomal RNA", at positions 30 to 506 of the family's 1533-position model. The record is from RNAcentral.